CCGGAGUGGCCACCCACAGAGCAGCUCUGGGCUGGACGCUGAGUCAUGAGGCUGUGGUGCCUGCCAGGGGGCGAGGGUGGCAGAUGGCUUUAUGUGGGCGUGAGUGAGGAGGGGGGCAGAUAGGAGGGGCAGUGACCCUGGGCCCAGCAGAGAUCCAGGGAAGUGGCCUGGGAGGUAGGUCUCCAACUCUUCCUUUCCCCCUUCUUCACUGCCAUUUUCCAGGGAUGACCCUUCCUGCUGGGGUAGCCAGCUGUGACUGGGUCGGGGUGGAAAGUGACCCCUGGGAGACCUGAGGCCUGAGGCCCUGGGCUUCCGCUUGACCUGGCUGGGUCAGCCGUGGGAGGCAGAGCCUGGCUCUGUUUAUCCAGGCCGGGCACUUCCGGAGCAGAUGGGCGCCUGUCAGAGCCUCCAGCCAGGAACUGGGCUGAUGUCCUCUCAUUGCCAAGUGGCAGCCACCACCCUCCAGAUAUUGUUGAAAAGAGGUCCAGAGCCUGAUGAUGGAUCUCCAGGCAUUUAAAGCAGAGGUUCCAAGACGUGUUAACAACAGGAGGGAGUAGGGAGUUGCAGCAGAACCUCCUCCCAUUAUCUUCUUUAGGGACAGAGUUUGAUUCUGUUCCUCAGGCUGGAGUGCAAUGGUGCGAUCACAGCUCACUGCAGCCUCAACUUCCUGGGCUCAGAGACGGGAUUUCACCAUGUUGCCCAGGCUGGUCUAGAACUCCUGGACUCAAGCAAUCUGCCCACCUCAGCCUCCCAAAGUGCUGG
This 762-nucleotide long non-coding RNA is filed under the name Callithrix jacchus (white-tufted-ear marmoset). RNAcentral describes it as "lncRNA (ENSCJAG00000076160.1)". The record is from RNAcentral. Lineage: Eukaryota; Metazoa; Chordata; Mammalia; Primates; Cebidae.